RNAcentral lists this long non-coding RNA (899 nucleotides) under Nicotiana benthamiana. RNAcentral's name for it is "long non-coding RNA (NBEN_LNC006655)". The record is from RNAcentral. Lineage: Eukaryota; Viridiplantae; Streptophyta; Magnoliopsida; Solanales; Solanaceae.
UAUGUCGUUCUACGAUUGUAAUAUACAAGGAAAUAAAAGCUCAAUGGCAGGGAAUGUCGUGAUGUCAAAAGAGCCGCCUCGUCAACAACCUAGUGUUCAACAGAACAAUUACCUACACAACCAAGGGAUUGUGUUGGAUGGAAAUAUCUUCGGGGACACCAACAUUUCUGCCAACCAUUCCGUGUUCCCACAAGGUGAUCGGUUUGAUCAGUCCAAGGUUUUAACUUCACCAUUCAACGCAGGCUCUAACGACAAUUUCCAUUUCAUGUUUUACUGUCUUUGUAAACUUCACCAUUCAACGCAGGCUCUAACGACAAUUUCCAUUUCAUGUUCGGGUCUCCAUUCAAUUUACAGUCCACUGAUUACAAUGAAGCUCUUUCUGGGAUCACACAGGAUAACAUGUCGAAGCAAGAUGUUCCGGUUUGGUAUUAGCAAAGGAUGUUUGCUCAAAUGUAUAUCAAGUACCACGACUUUGUGCACAUGGAUAUCACUUGUUUCCAAGAGGGAAGUUCUACACACAAUCAAGUGGAGUUGAAUUGCCUACAGUUCUCUCACUUUGGUGUCCGUUACCACGUAGUUGUAGAGGUCGGAGGAAACAUCCUUGCAAUUCGCCAUGCUGGUUAGUUAAAACUUAUAGAUGUUUUUAAAUAAGGUAGUCGUCGUUUUGCUUUUACAUAAUUCUGUAUAGGUUAGUUUUAUCUGAGAUUUCAAUCUGUUUAAGUUUCUUAAAUAACUGUACUUCGUCGAUGAUUCGGAGACUUGUGAUCAACUCUUUUGUGCCUAUGGCUGGUCAAGUAUAAACUGUUAGAAUUCUUGUUUAAGUACUAUUUUGAGAGGUGAUUGUGGUUGUGUAUUAUAAGCCAAAGCUGUGUGAUAUAUUUUAGCAUCCUAUAUGCUAU